CCUACGGGAGGCAGCAGUGAGGAAUAUUGGACAAUGGGGGCAACCCUGAUCCAGCCAUGCCGCGUGCAGGAAGACUGCCCUAUGGGUUGUAAACUGCUUUUAUACGGGAAGAAACACCACUACGUGUAGUGGCUUGACGGUACCGUAAGAAUAAGGAUCGGCUAACUCCGUGCCAGCAGCCGCGGUAAUACGGAGGAUCCAAGCGUUAUCCGGAAUCAUUGGGUUUAAAGGGUCCGUAGGUGGGCCGGUCAGUCAGAGGUGAAAUCCUGCAGCUUAACUGUAGAACUGCCUUUGAUACUGCUGGCCUUGAAUCAUUGUGAAGUGGUUAGAAUAUGUAGUGUAGCGGUGAAAUGCAUAGAUAUUACAUAGAAUACCAAUUGCGAAGGCAGAUCACUAACGAUGUAUUGACACUGAUGGACGAAAGCGUAGGUAGCGAACGGGAUUAGAUACCCCAGUAGUC
RNAcentral lists this ribosomal RNA (460 nucleotides) under uncultured Flavobacteriaceae bacterium. Its description in RNAcentral is "bacterial SSU rRNA". It matches the Rfam family "Bacterial small subunit ribosomal RNA", at positions 338 to 795 of the family's 1533-position model. The record is from RNAcentral. Lineage: Bacteria; Pseudomonadati; Bacteroidota; Flavobacteriia; Flavobacteriales; Flavobacteriaceae.